AUCGCUUCUUGGCCUUUUGGCUAAGAUCAAUUUUAGUAUCUGUUCUUAUCAGUUUAAUAUCUGAUAAACUCUGGGAGUUGGUGAUGGACAGGGAGGCCUGGUAUGCUGCAAUCCAUAGGUUCACAAAGAGUU
This is a small nuclear RNA of Capra hircus (goat), 132 nucleotides long. Its record names the gene U2. It matches the Rfam family "U2 spliceosomal RNA". From Rfam's summary of the family: U2 is a small nuclear RNA (snRNA) component of the spliceosome (involved in pre-mRNA splicing). Complementary binding between U2 snRNA (in an area lying towards the 5' end but 3' to hairpin I) and the branchpoint sequence (BPS) of the intron results the bulging out of an unpaired adenosine, on the BPS, which initiates a nucleophilic attack at the intronic 5' splice site, thus starting the first of two transesterification reactions that mediate splicing. The record is from Ensembl. Lineage: Eukaryota; Metazoa; Chordata; Mammalia; Artiodactyla; Bovidae.